This is a long non-coding RNA of Mauremys reevesii (Reeves's turtle), 377 nucleotides long. RefSeq lists it as uncharacterized. Lineage: Eukaryota; Metazoa; Chordata; Testudines; Geoemydidae. The record is from RefSeq and is a predicted model, not a curated record. The transcript is spliced from 3 exons.
GAACUCUACUGUUGCGAGAGCCAGAAGCGGAGUCGACUGGGGAGCGGCAGCCGUUGAUCUUGCGCCGCAAGGACACGAACUCGGCAGGGGAACCACAAUAAGGAACUGGCUGGAGGGCUGAGUGAUGAAGAGGACAGCUGUGGCUCCUGAGGGCAAAAGAGGGGCUGCAGAGGAGACACUGAUGGGGUGUAGCUGCUGGAAGGAGCGUUGGCCUGACCGAGCUAAUCCCCAGCGCUGCCAGGAGGUGAUGCCAUCCAGUGGGUAUUUGCAGAAUGUCAUUCCCAUUCAAGGCGAUUAUUGGAAUUACCUGAUGCACUUCAGAGGUGCAGCAGGCAAAGAGCAGCUGGAGAUUCCAGAGCUGAUACUUUACUUCCCUC